Arabidopsis lyrata subsp. lyrata is the source of this 1223-nucleotide long non-coding RNA. RefSeq lists it as uncharacterized. The transcript is spliced from 2 exons. NCBI's taxonomy places the organism in Eukaryota, Viridiplantae, Streptophyta, Magnoliopsida, Brassicales, Brassicaceae. The record is from RefSeq and is a predicted model, not a curated record.
CUACAUAAUGAUAAAAAAAAACUAACCGGAUCAAAGUCAUUGAUUAUUAGUGAUUCCAAAAAUUCAACUCGUUAUAUGUAGAUUUUGCAUUCAAACUUUUUUUUUUUAAAUAGUUUUGUAACUAAAUUUAUAUAAUGAUAUAUGAAAAUUAACCAGAUUUUGGAUCAUUCAUUCUUGUGAUCAUUAGCGAUUCCACAAAAUAAAUUUGUUUUCUUAAGAUCAAAAUAAAAUAAAACAAAAUUUAGAUAUACUUUUUGGAGCAUCAAUAUAAAAUCUGACUAGGAAAUGGAGUUACAUGUGCAGUAUUUUCUAACAAAUCAGAUAUCUUUAAAGAAGAAGCUUUGCAGCCAUGUGAGACACUCUCCUCUCCUUGGUUGAUUCCAUCUCAAUCUUCAUAGGCUCAAUAUCAAAAUCCUGAAUAGUACUACCUUCUUCUUCGGUCGCAUCUUGGCUAUGUAAGAUUUAUCUAUCAAAAUCCUGAACAGACUUUCCUGCAAAUACCGGUAAACUUCUUCAUUUGAUGAGUUCUUUAGCUAUCAGAUACCGGAAACCGAAAUUGUGUGGGAUCCAUUCUAUGAUACUCUUUCGGGAUCUCCCCAUAUUGAGUUUCUUGAUUGUUUUCCUCAUGGGUUCCGGGAGACAUUCUUGGAUCUUCUCCAUCAAUGCAACUUGAUUCAAACCCAAGUCUUUGCUGAAAGACUCUAUGAUCUUUGGUAAGAUGGUUUAUGGUUAUUUCUGAACCCAAUUGUUGUGCGAAUGUUUUCUUCUUUUGCGGUUUCCAGCUCUAGGUAUACACUCUCUGGCGUAUAUACUCGAAUCUAUGACGCAGAAGAUGUAGAAUUAGUCCAGUAAGGGUCUAAUAAAUGUACUUAUAUUUGUGUGUGGUGGUGCAUAGAUAUAUGUAGAGAGGAUGAGAUGAAGUACCGGGGGAUCAGAGUAAUUUCCGGAACAGAGAGCAAAGUACAACAAAGGCUCAGGAUGCUCGAGAGUGAUUAUGCUCCGUACUCAUAUCCGGUUCUAAGCUUUUUUGAGGAUUGUGGUAACAAAUUUGAGGUGAGUAACAACCGCAACCACUGUUAGGAUCAGCUCAAAGUCAUGUCCUUGCAUUCGGCUGAGAAGAAUAGAAUUUUGCAAUAUUUCUAUGCUCAUCACACGACCUCCUAUGUUGUAAGCUGGCUGCAAAAUUUAGGCAUUGAAUCAGAAAAUUCAAGAGCAUUUUCUCA